GGUAUACAACUUCGCCCCUCUCGCGGUUUUGUUUUACUUUUGGCUUAUUCGAAUGUGCUUUUGUUCGUUUGGUUAGUUAUGUCGUGCUGAUAGUUUCUGAAGGAUGAUGGUUCUUUGUGUUUUAAGGCUGUUGGUUAGUUGUCUAUGGAAUAGGAGAUAAGCAUGUACGUGCAGUCAAUGUAUGUCUCGAGUUUACUUCCUAGUUCGAAUCUUAUUGUUCUUGGUAUAUUUUGGGUUUCAUAGCUACAUUCGGUAUAGUUUUUUUUAGAUCAUUCUUUCAUCUUGAUUUAUUUUUAUUCAUUGUGGUUCUUCAAUAUUGUUUGAUAUUCGGCAUCGUAUCG
Molecule: unclassified non-coding RNA, 341 nt
Filed under: Hevea brasiliensis (rubber tree)
Lineage: Eukaryota; Viridiplantae; Streptophyta; Magnoliopsida; Malpighiales; Euphorbiaceae
Source: RNAcentral